UUACGGGAGGCAGCAGUGGGGAAUUGUUCGCAAUGGGCGCAAGCCUGACGACGCAACGCCGCGUGGAGGAUGAAGGUCUUCGGAUUGUAAACUCCUGUUGCCCGGGACGAAUGGCCUCGACCUAACACGUCGAGGUGUGACGGUACCGGGUGAGGAAGCCCCGGCUAACUCUGUGCCAGCAGCCGCGGUAAUACAGAGGGGGCAAGCGUUGUUCGGAAUUACUGGGCGUAAAGGGCGCGUAGGCGGCCUGCUAAGUCGAACGUGAAAUCCCCGAGCUCAACUCGGGAACUGCGUCCGAUACUGGUUGGCUUGAAUCCGGGAGAGGGAUGCGGAAUUCCAGGUGUAGCGGUGAAAUGCGUAGAUAUCUGGAGGAACACCGGUGGCGAAGGCGGCAUCCUGGACCGGCAUUGACGCUGAGGCGCGAAAGCCAGGGGAGCAAACGGGAUUAGAUACCCCGGU
Molecule: ribosomal RNA, 459 nt
Filed under: uncultured bacterium
Lineage: Bacteria
Description: bacterial SSU rRNA
Rfam family: Bacterial small subunit ribosomal RNA
Source: RNAcentral